AUCCAGCUGACGAGUCCGAAAGAGGACGCGAUGCGCGUCUUGGAU
Schistosoma mattheei is the source of this 45-nucleotide non-coding RNA. The record is from Rfam. Lineage: Eukaryota; Metazoa; Platyhelminthes; Trematoda; Strigeidida; Schistosomatidae.